GAUCAUGGUAAAACAAGAUGGAGGCCUGCAGCAAAGUUUGCUACUGAACAUACAGAAAGUUAGGCAAAGCACACUGGAUUUGCUUCAGUUUAAGACCAACCCCACAAAUCCUUUUUCAUAAUUAAAAUUUUACAGAGAAUAUAAACAGUGAUAGCUGGGGUCCUGCCCUGUAAAAUGUUUUCUAAAAAGAAAAAAAAAAAGCCUCUCACAUAAAAGUUAACUUCUGACAGGUAGAGAAAAGGAAAAAAUAGUUAAAGUGCAGGGUUGGAA
RNAcentral lists this long non-coding RNA (270 nucleotides) under Pan troglodytes (chimpanzee). Its description in RNAcentral is "long non-coding RNA NONPTRT015209". Lineage: Eukaryota; Metazoa; Chordata; Mammalia; Primates; Hominidae. The record is from RNAcentral.